UACGGAGGAUCCGAGCGUUAUCCGGAUUUAUUGGGUUUAAAGGGUGCGUAGGCUGGUAAUUAAGUCAGUGGUGAAAUACUCCGGCUCAACCGGGGGGCUGCCGUUGAUACUGGUUACCUUGAGUUUAGAUGAUGUGGGCGGAAUGUGUCAUGUAGCGGUGAAAUGCAUAGAGAUGACACAGAACACCGAUAGCGAAGGCAGCUCACAAAGCUAUUACUGACGCUGAUGCACGAAAGCGUGGGGAUCAAACAGGAUUAGA
Molecule: ribosomal RNA, 259 nt
Filed under: uncultured prokaryote
Description: partial 16S ribosomal RNA
Rfam family: Bacterial small subunit ribosomal RNA
Source: RNAcentral